RNAcentral lists this ribosomal RNA (1343 nucleotides) under uncultured bacterium. RNAcentral describes it as "16S ribosomal RNA". It matches the Rfam family "Bacterial small subunit ribosomal RNA", at positions 28 to 1378 of the family's 1533-position model. The record is from RNAcentral.
GACGAACGUUGGCGGCGUGCUUAACACAUGCAAGUCGAACGGAAAGGCCCUGCUUUUGUGGGGUGCUCGAGUGGCGAACGGGUGAGUAACACGUGAGUAACCUGCCCUUGACUUUGGGAUAACUUCAGGAAACUGGGGCUAAUACCGGAUAGGAGCUCCUGCUGCAUGGUGGGGGUUGGAAAGUUUCGGCGGUUGGGGAUGGACUCGCGGCUUAUCAGCUUGUUGGUGGGGUAGUGGCUUACCAAGGCUUUGACGGGUAGCCGGCCUGAGAGGGUGACCGGCCACAUUGGGACUGAGAUACGGCCCAGACUCCUACGGGAGGCAGCAGUGGGGAAUAUUGCACAAUGGGCGGAAGCCUGAUGCAGCAACGCCGCGUGCGGGAUGACGGCCUUCGGGUUGUAAACCGCUUUCGCCUGUGACGAAGCGUGAGUGACGGUAAUGGGUAAAGAAGCACCGGCUAACUACGUGCCAGCAGCCGCGGUGAUACGUAAGGUGCGAGCGUUGUCCGGAUUUAUUGGGCGUAAAGGGCUCGUAGGUGGUUGAUCGCGUCGGAAGUGUAAUCUUGGGGCUUAACCCUGAGCGUGCUUUCGAUACGGGUUGACUUGAGGAAGGUAGGGGAGAAUGGAAUUCCUGGUGGAGCGGUGGAAUGCGCAGAUAUCAGGAGGAACACCAGUGGCGAAGGCGGUUCUCUGGGCCUUUCCUGACGCUGAGGAGCGAAAGCGUGGGGAGCGAACAGGCUUAGAUACCCUGGUAGUCCACGCUGUAAACGGUGGGUACUAGGUGUGGGGUCCAUUCCACGGGUUCCGUGCCGUAGCUAACGCUUUAAGUACCCCGCCUGGGGAGUACGGCCGCAAGGCUAAAACUCAAAGGAAUUGACGGGGCCCCGCACAAGCGGCGGAGCAUGCGGAUUAAUUCGAUGCAACGCGUAGAACCUUACCUGGGUUUGACAUGGAUCGGGAGUGCUCAGAGAUGGGUGUGCCUCUUUUGGGGUCGGUUCACAGGUGGUGCAUGGCUGUCGUCAGCUCGUGUCGUGAGAUGUUGGGUUAAGUCCCGCAACGAGCGCAACCCUUGUUCACUGUUGCCAGCACGUUAUGGUGGGGACUCAGUGGAGACCGCCGGGGUCAACUCGGAGGAAGGUGGGGAUGACGUCAAGUCAUCAUGCCCCUUAUGUCCAGGGCUUCACGCAUGCUACAAUGGCUGGUACAGAGAGUGGCGAGCCUGUGAGGGUGAGCGAAUCUCGGAAAGCCGGUCUCAGUUCGGAUUGGGGUCUGCAACUCGACCUCAUGAAGUCGGAGUCGCUAGUAAUCGCAGAUCAGCAACGCUGCGGUGAAUACGUUCCCGGG